GAUGAACGCUGGCGGCGUGCCUAAUACAUGCAAGUCGAGCGAACAGACGAGGAGCUUGCUCCUCUGACGUUAGCGGCGGACGGGUGAGUAACACGUGGAUAACCUACCUAUAAGACUGGGAUAACUUCGGGAAACCGGAGCUAAUACCGGAUAAUAUAUUGAACCGCAUGGUUCAAUAGUGAAAGACGGUUUUGCUGUCACUUAUAGAUGGAUCCGCGCCGCAUUAGCUAGUUGGUAAGGUAACGGCUUACCAAGGCAACGAUGCGUAGCCGACCUGAGAGGAUGAUCAGCCACACUGGAACUGAGACACGGUCCAGACUCCUACGGGAGGCAGCAGUAGGGAAUCUUCCGCAAUGGGCGAAAGCCUGACGCAGCAACGCCGCGUGAGUGAUGAAGGUCUUCGGGUCGUAAAACUCUGUUAUUAGGGAAGAACAAAUGUGUAAGUAACUAUGCACGUCUUGACGGUACCUAAACAGAAAGCCACGGCUAACUACGUG
Molecule: ribosomal RNA, 497 nt
Filed under: uncultured bacterium
Lineage: Bacteria
Description: partial 16S ribosomal RNA
Rfam family: Bacterial small subunit ribosomal RNA
Source: RNAcentral